AGAAUCAACGCUGGCGGCGUGCCUAACACAUGCAAGUCGAACGAGAAAGUGGAGCAAUCCAUGAGUAAAGUGGCGCACGGGUGAGUAACACGUGACUAACCUACCCUUGAGUGGGGGAUAACCUAGGGAAACCUGGGCUAAUACCGCAUAAUACCUUCGGGUCAAAGGAGCAAUUCGGCUUAAGGAGGGGGUCGCGGCCGAUUAGUUAGUUGGCGGGGUAAUGGCCCACCAAGACUGUGAUCGGUAU
Molecule: ribosomal RNA, 247 nt
Filed under: uncultured bacterium
Lineage: Bacteria
Description: partial small subunit ribosomal RNA
Rfam family: Bacterial small subunit ribosomal RNA
Source: RNAcentral